This 77-nucleotide transfer RNA is filed under the name Dictyoglomus thermophilum H-6-12. Its description in RNAcentral is "tRNA-Thr". It matches the Rfam family "tRNA". Rfam says of the family: Transfer RNA (tRNA) molecules are approximately 80 nucleotides in length. The record is from RNAcentral. Lineage: Bacteria; Pseudomonadati; Dictyoglomota; Dictyoglomia; Dictyoglomales; Dictyoglomaceae.
AGCCGAGGUAGCUCAGAGGCAGAGCAGCUGAUUUGUAAUCAGCGGGUCGUGGGUUCGAAUCCCUCCCUCGGCUCCAU